This 253-nucleotide ribosomal RNA is filed under the name uncultured bacterium. RNAcentral describes it as "partial 16S ribosomal RNA". It matches the Rfam family "Bacterial small subunit ribosomal RNA", at positions 524 to 776 of the family's 1533-position model. The record is from RNAcentral.
GACAGAGGGUGCAAACGUUGUUCGGAAUUACUGGGCGUAAAGCGCGUGUAGGCGGCUAUGCAAGUCGGGCGUGAAAUCCCACGGCUCAACCGUGGAAGUGCACCCGAAACUGCGUAGCUAGAGUCCUGGAGAGGAAGGUGGAAUGCUUGGUGUAGAGGUGAAAUUCGUAGAUAUCAGGAAGAACACCGGUGGCGAAGGCGGCCCACUGGCUCGAUACUGACGCUGAGGUGCGAAAGCGUGGGGAGCAAACAGG